RNAcentral lists this ribosomal RNA (559 nucleotides) under uncultured Alphaproteobacteria bacterium. RNAcentral describes it as "bacterial SSU rRNA". It matches the Rfam family "Bacterial small subunit ribosomal RNA", at positions 469 to 1031 of the family's 1533-position model. Lineage: Bacteria; Pseudomonadati; Pseudomonadota; Alphaproteobacteria. The record is from RNAcentral.
AAUACGGUCCGCAAGAAUAAGCCCGGCUAACUUCGUGCCAGCAGCCGCGGUAAUACAAAGGGGGCUAGCGUUGCUCGGAAUCNCUGGGCGUAAAGGGUGCGUAGGCGGGUCUUUAAGUCAGGGGUGAAAUCCUGGAGCUCUAACUCCAGAACUGCCUUUGAUACUGAGGAUCUUGAGUUCGGGAGAGGUGAGUGGAACUGCGAGUGUAGAGGUGAAAUUCGUAGAUAUUCGCAAGAACACCAGUGGCGAAGGCGGCUCACUGGCCCGAUACUGACGCUGAGGCACGAAAGCGUGGGGAGCAAACAGGAUUAGAUACCCUGGUAGUCCACGCCGUAAGCGAUGAAUGCCAGCCGUUAGUGGGUUUACUCACUAGUGGCGCAGCUAACGCUUUAAGCAUUCCGCCUGGGGAGUACGGUCGCAAGAUUAAAACCCAAAGGAAUUGACGGGGGCCCGCACAAGCGGUGGAGCAUGUGGUUUAAUUCGACUGCAACGCGCGGAACCUCACCAGCCCUUGACAUCCCGAGUCAGCGGACUCCAGAGAUGGAGUUCUUCAGUUCGG